RNAcentral lists this transfer RNA (74 nucleotides) under Folsomia candida. It matches the Rfam family "tRNA". From Rfam's summary of the family: Transfer RNA (tRNA) molecules are approximately 80 nucleotides in length. The record is from Rfam by way of RNAcentral. Lineage: Eukaryota; Metazoa; Arthropoda; Collembola; Entomobryomorpha; Isotomidae.
CAGUUGGUAGCUCAGUGGUUAAAGUGCUCGACUGGAUAUCGAGAGGUCCCAGGUUCGAUUCCUGGGCCGGCUCU